RNAcentral lists this ribosomal RNA (468 nucleotides) under uncultured bacterium. RNAcentral's name for it is "partial 16S ribosomal RNA". It matches the Rfam family "Bacterial small subunit ribosomal RNA", at positions 28 to 507 of the family's 1533-position model. The record is from RNAcentral.
GACGAACGCUGGCGGCGUGCUUAACACAUGCAAGUCGAACGGAAAGGCCCUGCUUUUGUGGGGUGCUCGAGUGGCGAACGGGUGAGUAACACGUGAGUAACCUGCCCUUGACUUUGGGAUAACUUCAGGAAACUGGGGCUAAUACCGGAUAGGGGCUCCUGCUGCAUGGGGGGGGUUGGAAAUUUUCGGCGGUUGGGGAUGGACUCGCGGCUUAUCAGCUUGUUGGUGGGGUAGUGGCUUACCAAGGCUUUGACGGGUAGCCGGCCUGAGAGGGUGACCGGCCACAUUGGGACUGAGAUACGGCCCAGACUCCUACGGGAGGCAGCAGUGGGGAAUAUUGCACAAUGGGCGGAAGCCUGAUGCAGCAACGCCGCGUGCGGGAUGACGGCCUUCGGGUUGUAAACCGCUUUCGCCUGUGACGAAGCGUGAGUGACGGUAAUGGGUAAAGAAGCACCGGCUAACUACGUG